GCUAACGUCCGUCGUGAAGAGGGAAACAACCCAGACCGCCAGCUAAGGUCCCAAAGUCAUGGUUAAGUGGGAAACGAUGUGGGAAGGCCCAGACAGCCAGGAUGUUGGCUUAGAAGCAGCCAUCAUUAAAGAAAGCGUAAUAGCUCACUGGUCGAGUCGGCCUGCGCGGAAGAUGUAACGGGGCUAAACCAUGCACCGAAACGGCAGAAAGAGC
Molecule: ribosomal RNA, 214 nt
Filed under: Cronobacter sakazakii
Lineage: Bacteria; Pseudomonadati; Pseudomonadota; Gammaproteobacteria; Enterobacterales; Enterobacteriaceae
Description: partial 23S ribosomal RNA
Rfam family: Bacterial large subunit ribosomal RNA
Source: RNAcentral